UCCGAGUUGUCCCCGGCAGUCCUCUUAGAGUCCCCGGCAUUACCCGCUGGCAACUAAGAGCAGGGGUUGCGCUCGUUGCGGCACUUAAGCCAACACCUCACGGCACGAGCUGGCGACAGCCAUGCAGCACCUGUGCUGGCCCCUUACGGACACGGGCUUUCACCCGCUUUAACCAGCAUGUCAAGCCCAGGUAAGGUUCUUCGCGUUGCAUCGAAUUAAGCCACACGCUCCGCUGCUUGUGCGGGCCCCCGUCAAUUCCUUUGAGUUUUAAGCUUGCGCUCGUAGUUCCCAGGCGGGCCACUUCCCGCGUUAGCUCCGCCACAAGAGGGGUCGAUUCCUCUUACAGCAAGCAAGCACCGUUUAGGGCUAGGACUAC
This 376-nucleotide unclassified non-coding RNA is filed under the name uncultured Actinomycetes bacterium. RNAcentral describes it as "uncultured actinobacterium contains 16S-23S intergenic spacer region". The record is from RNAcentral. Lineage: Bacteria; Bacillati; Actinomycetota; Actinomycetes.